This 1282-nucleotide ribosomal RNA is filed under the name marine metagenome. RNAcentral's name for it is "bacterial LSU rRNA". It matches the Rfam family "Bacterial large subunit ribosomal RNA", at positions 1586 to 2925 of the family's 2925-position model. The record is from RNAcentral.
CGAAGUCAUAAAAUCCUUUCCAAGAAAAGCGAGUUAUGCGGUCCGUACCCGAAACCGACACAGGUGGUCAAGUAGAAUAUACUAAGGCGCUCGAGUGAAUCACGGUUAAGGAACUAGGCAAAUUAGUCUCGUAACUUCGGAAUAAGAGACUCCCUCGCAAGAGGGACGCAGAGAAAUGGCGGUGGCGACUGUUUAUCAAAAACACAUGGCUAUGCUAAAUCGAAAGAUGAUGUAUAUGGCCUGACACCUGCCCGGUGCUGGAAGGUUAAAAGGAGAUGUCAGCGCAAGCGAAGCAUUGAAUUGAAGCCCCAGUAAACGGCGGCCGUAACUAUAACGGUCCUAAGGUAGCGAAAUUCCUUGUCGGGUAAGUUCCGACCUGCACGAAUGGUGUAACGAUCUCCGCACUGUCUCAACCGUGAGCUCGGUGAAAUUGUAGUCUCGGUGAAGAUGCCGAGUACCCGCAACGGGACGGAAAGACCCUGUGAACCUUCACUAUAGCUUAGCAUUGGAGUUGAUUAAACGAUGUGUAGGAUAGGUGGGAGACUUUGAAGCGGCGUCGCCAGGCGUCGUGGAGUCAUCCUUGAAAUACCACCCUUUGUUUACUUGAUUUCUAACCUCUGGGACAGUGCUUGGCGGGUAGUUUGACUGGGGUGGUCGCCUCCGAAAGUGUAUCGGAGGCUUCCAAAGGUACGCUCAGUACGGUCGGUAAUCGUACGUAGAGUGCAAUGGCACAAGCGUGCUUGACUGUGAGACAUACAAGUCAAUCAGGUACGAAAGUAGGGCAUAGUGAUCCGGUGGUUCCGCAUGGAAGGGCCAUCGCUCAAAGGAUAAAAGGUACUCCGGGGAUAACAGGCUGAUCACUCCCAAGAGCUCACAUCGACGGAGUGGUUUGGCACCUCGAUGUCGGCUCGUCACAUCCUGGGGCUGGAGAAGGUCCCAAGGGUUCGGCUGUUCGCCGAUUAAAGUGGCACGCGAGCUGGGUUCAGAACGUCGUGAGACAGUUCGGUCCCUAUCUGUUGUGGGCGUUUGAAGCUUGAGAGGACCUUUCUCUAGUACGAGAGGACCGGGAAGGACGCACCUCUGGUGUAUCUGUUGUGGCGCCAGCUGCAGUGCAGAGUAUCUAUGUGCGGAUGAGAUAAGCGCUGAAAGCAUCUAAGCGCGAAACUCGCCUCAAGAUGAGGCUUCAUUGAGAGUCGUCGAAGAUUACGACGUUGAUAGGCUACAGGUGUAAAGGCAGCAAUGUCAAAGCCAAGUAGUACUAAUUACUCGAAAGCUUAUAAAU